This 1019-nucleotide ribosomal RNA is filed under the name uncultured bacterium. RNAcentral's name for it is "bacterial SSU rRNA". It matches the Rfam family "Bacterial small subunit ribosomal RNA", at positions 357 to 1376 of the family's 1533-position model. The record is from RNAcentral.
AGGAAUAUUGGUCAAUGGGCGAGAGCCUGAACCAGCCAAGCCGCGUGAGGGAAGAAGGCGCUCAGCGUCGUAAACCUCUUUAGCCGGGGAACAACACCCUGCACGCGAUGCAGGACUGAGUGUACCCGGAGAAUAAGCAUCGGCUAACUCCGUGCCAGCAGCCACGGUAAUACGGAGGAUGCGAGCGUUAUCCGGAUUUAUUGGGUUUAAAGGGUGCGCAGGCGGACAGUCAAGUCUGCGGUAAAAUCGCGGGGCUCAACCCCGCCAAGCCGUGGAAACUGGCUGACUUGAGUGGGCGAGAGGUAUGCGGAAUGCGCGGUGUAGCGGUGAAAUGCUUAGAUAUCACGAAGAACCCCGAUUGCGAAGGCAGCUUGCCAGGCCUGGACUGACGUUGAGGCUCGAAGGUGCGGGUAUCGAACAGGAUUAGAUACCCUGGUAGUCCGCACGGUAAACGAUGGAUACUCGCUGUCGGCGAUACACGGUCGGCGGCCAAGCGAAAGCGUUAAGUAUCCCACCUGGGGAGUACGCCGGCAACGGUGAAACUCAAAGGAAUUGACGGGGGCCCGCACAAGCGGAGGAACAUGUGGUUUAAUUCGAUGAUACGCGAGGAACCUUACCCGGGCUUGAACUGUGCCUGACUGCCUCAGAGAUGGGGCUUCCAGCAAUGGCAGGCAUGGAGGUGCUGCAUGGUUGUCGUCAGCUCGUGCCGUGAGGUGUCGGCUUAAGUGCCAUAACGAGCGCAACCCCUCCCGCCAGUUGCCAUCAGGUAAAGCUGGGCACUCUGGGGGCACUGCCACCGCAAGGUGUGAGGAAGGUGGGGAUGACGUCAAAUCAGCACGGCCCUUACGUCCGGGGCUACACACGUGUUACAAUGGGAGGUCACAGAGGGCUGCUACCCGGCGACGGGACGCCAAUCCCCAAACCCUCCCUCAGUACGGACUGGAGUCUGCAACCCGACUCCACGAAGCUGGAUUCGCUAGUAAUCGCGCAUCAGCCACGGCGCGGUGAAUACGUUCCCG